UGGGGAAUUUUGGACAAUGGGGGCAACCCUGACGCAGCAACGCCGCGUGAAGGAUGAAAUCCUUCGGGAUGUAAACUUCGCAAAACUGGGAAGAACAAAAUGACGGUACCAGUUGUAAGCCACGGCUAACUCUGUGCCAGCAGCCGCGGUAAUACAGAGGUGGCAAGCGUUGUUCGGAAUUACUGGGCGUAAAGCGCGUGUAGGCGGCUCUUCAAGUCAGGCGUGAAAGCCCCAGGCUCAACCUGGGAAAUGCGUUUGAUACUGUCGAGCUAGAGUGUGGAAGGGGCGAUUGGAAUUCCGGGUGUAGCGGUGAAAUGCGUAGAUAUCAAGAGGAACACCUGAGGUGAAGACGGGUUGCUGGGCUGACACUGACGCUGAGGCGCGAAAGCCAGGGGAGCAAACGGGAUUAGAUACCCACGUAGUCCCUGAGCGGGCUGGCAAGGCGCAU
Molecule: ribosomal RNA, 448 nt
Filed under: uncultured bacterium
Lineage: Bacteria
Description: bacterial SSU rRNA
Rfam family: Bacterial small subunit ribosomal RNA
Source: RNAcentral